CCUACGGGUGGCAGCAGUGGGGAAUAUUGGACAAUGGGCGAAAGCCUGAUCCAGCCAUGCCGCGUGUGUGAAGAAGGCCUUCGGGUUGUAAAGCACUUUCAGUGGGGAAGAAAGCCUUGGGGCUAAUACCCUCGAGGAAGGACAUCACCCACAGCAGAAGCACCGGCUAACUCCGUGCCAGCAGCCGCGGUAAUACGGAGGGUGCGAGCGUUAAUCGGAAUUACUGGGCGUAAAGCGCGCGUAGGCGGUCUGAUAAGCCGGUUGUGAAAGCCCCGGGCUCAACCUGGGAACGGCAUCCGGAACUGUCAGGCUAGAGUGCAGGAGAGGAAGGUAGAAUUCCCGGUGUAGCGGUGAAAUGCGUAGAGAUCGGGAGGAAUACCAGUGGCGAAGGCGGUCUUCUGGACUGACACUGACGCCGAGGUGCGAAAGCGUGGGUAGCAAACAGGAUUAGAUACCCUAGUAGUC
This 465-nucleotide ribosomal RNA is filed under the name Vreelandella stevensii. RNAcentral describes it as "partial 16S ribosomal RNA". It matches the Rfam family "Bacterial small subunit ribosomal RNA", at positions 338 to 795 of the family's 1533-position model. The record is from RNAcentral. Lineage: Bacteria; Pseudomonadati; Pseudomonadota; Gammaproteobacteria; Oceanospirillales; Halomonadaceae.